UUCGUAGGCGGCGCAGAAAGUAGGGUGUGAAAGCCCUCAGCUCAACCGAGGAAUUGCGCUCUAAACUACUGUGCUUGAGGAAGCUAGAGGUGAGCAGAACUGAUGGUGGAGCGGUGAAAUGCGUUGAUAUCAUCAGGAAUACCGGAGGCGAAGGCGGCUCACUGGGGCUUUUCUGACGCUGAGGAACGAAAGCCAGGGUAGCGAACG
RNAcentral lists this ribosomal RNA (207 nucleotides) under uncultured bacterium. Its description in RNAcentral is "partial 16S ribosomal RNA". It matches the Rfam family "Bacterial small subunit ribosomal RNA", at positions 568 to 774 of the family's 1533-position model. The record is from RNAcentral.